Molecule: ribosomal RNA, 1144 nt
Filed under: Salmonella enterica
Lineage: Bacteria; Pseudomonadati; Pseudomonadota; Gammaproteobacteria; Enterobacterales; Enterobacteriaceae
Also listed under: 1 other name
Description: partial 23S ribosomal RNA
Rfam family: Bacterial large subunit ribosomal RNA
Source: RNAcentral
AGACCCGAAACCCGGUGAUCUAGCCAUGGGCAGGUUGAAGGUUGGGUAACACUAACUGGAGGACCGAACCGACUAAUGUUGAAAAAUUAGCGGAUGACCUGUGGCUGGGGGUGAAAGGCCAAUCAAACCGGGAGAUAGCUGGUUCUCCCCGAAAGCUAUUUAGGUAGCGCCUCGUGAAUUCAUCUCCGGGGGUAGAGCACUGUUUCGGCUAGGGGGCCAUCCCGGCUUACCAACCCGAUGCAAACUGCGAAUACCGGAGAAUGUUAUCACGGGAGACACACGGCGGGUGCUAACGUCCGUCGUGAAGAGGGAAACAACCCAGACCGCCAGCUAAGGUCCCAAAGUCAUGGUUAAGUGGGAAACGAUGUGGGAAGGCCCAGACAGCCAGGAUGUUGGCUUAGAAGCAGCCAUCAUUUAAAGAAAGCGUAAUAGCUCACUGGUCGAGUCGGCCUGCGCGGAAGAUGUAACGGGGCUAAACCAUGCACCGAAGCUGCGGCAGCGAACGUAUCACCCAAGACAACUUUACGGAGUUGACGAUUGACGGAGCGAAGCGACGUCAAAGCGUUCAUUAAAGUCGAGUUGGCUUAGGGAUACGUUCGUUGGGUAGGGGAGCGUUCUGUAAGCCUGUGAAGGUGUGUCGUGAGGCAUGCUGGAGGUAUCAGAAGUGCGAAUGCUGACAUAAGUAACGAUAAAGCGGGUGAAAAGCCCGCUCGCCGGAAGACCAAGGGUUCCUGUCCAACGUUAAUCGGGGCAGGGUGAGUCGACCCCUAAGGCGAGGCCGAAAGGCGUAGUCGAUGGGAAACGGGUUAAUAUUCCCGUACUUGGUGUUACUGCGAAGGGGGGACGGAGAAGGCUAUGUUGGCCGGGCGACGGUUGUCCCGGUUUAAGCGUGUAGGUGUGUGUUCCAGGUAAAUCCGGUUCACUUUAACACUGAGGCGUGACGACGAGGCACUACGGUGCUGAAGCAACAAAUGCCCUGCUUCCAGGAAAAGCCUCUAAGCAUCAGGUAACACGAAAUCGUACCCCAAACCGACACAGGUGGUCAGGUAGAGAAUACCAAGGCGCUUGAGAGAACUCGGGUGAAGGAACUAGGCAAAAUGGUGCCGUAACUUCGGGAGAAGGCACGCUGACACGUAGGUGAAGU